AGCUUGCUACCUGACCUAGCGGCGGACGGGUGAGUAAUGCUUAGGAAUCUGCCUAUUAGUGGGGGACAACAUUCCGAAAGGAAUGCUAAUACCGCAUACGCCCUACGGGGGAAAGCAGGGGAUCUUCGGACCUUGCGCUAAUAGAUGAGCCUAAGUCAGAUUAGCUAGUUGGUGGGGUAAAGGCCUACCAAGGCGACGAUCUGUAGCGGGUCUGAGAGGAUGAUCCGCCACACUGGGACUGAGACACGGCCCAGACUCCUACGGGAGGCAGCAGUGGGGAAUAUUGGACAAUGGGCGAAAGCCUGAUCCAGCCAUGCCGCGUGUGUGAAGAAGGCCUUUUGGUUGUAAAGCACUUUAAGCGAGGAGGAGGCUACUGAGAUUAAUACUCUUGGAUAGUGGACGUUACUCGCAGAAUAAGCACCGGCUAACUCUGUGCCAGCAGCCGCGGUAAUACAGAGGGUGCGAGCGUUAAUCGGAUUUACUGGGCGUAAAGCGUGCGUAGGCGGCUUUUUAAGUCGGAUGUGAAAUCCCUGAGCUUAACUUAGGAAUUGCAUUCGAUACUGGGAAGCUAGAGUAUGGGAGAGGAUGGUAGAAUUCCAGGUGUAGCGGUGAAAUGCGUAGAGAUCUGGAGGAAUACCGAUGGCGAAGGCAGCCAUCUGGCCUAAUACUGACGCUGAGGUACGAAAGCAUGGGGAGCAAACAGGAUUAGAUACCCUGGUAGUCCAUGCCGUAAACGAUGUCUACUAGCCGUUGGGGCCUUUGAGGCUUUAGUGGCGCAGCUAACGCGAUAAGUAGACCGCCUGGGGAGUACGGUCGCAAGACUAAAACUCAAAUGAAUUGACGGGGGCCCGCACAAGCGGUGGAGCAUGUGGUUUAAUUCGAUGCAACGCGAAGAACCUUACCUGGUCUUGACAUAGUAAGAACUUUCCAGAGAUGGAUUGGUGCCUUCGGGAGCUUACAUACAGGUGCUGCAUGGCUGUCGUCAGCUCGUGUCGUGAGAUGUUGGGUUAAGUCCCGCAACGAGCGCAACCCUUUUCCUUAUUUGCCAGCGGGUUAAGCCGGGAACUUUAAGGAUACUGCCAGUGACAAACUGGAGGAAGGCGGGGACGACGUCAAGUCAUCAUGGCCCUUACGACCAGGGCUACACACGUGCUACAAUGGUCGGUACAAAGGGUUGCUACCUAGCGAUAGGAUGCUAAUCUCAAAAAGCCGAUCGUAGUCCGGAUUGGAGUCUGCAACUCGACUCCAUGAAGUCG
This 1256-nucleotide ribosomal RNA is filed under the name uncultured Acinetobacter sp. RNAcentral describes it as "bacterial SSU rRNA". It matches the Rfam family "Bacterial small subunit ribosomal RNA", at positions 77 to 1328 of the family's 1533-position model. The record is from RNAcentral. Lineage: Bacteria; Pseudomonadati; Pseudomonadota; Gammaproteobacteria; Moraxellales; Moraxellaceae.